Molecule: ribosomal RNA, 253 nt
Filed under: uncultured bacterium
Lineage: Bacteria
Description: partial 16S ribosomal RNA
Rfam family: Bacterial small subunit ribosomal RNA
Source: RNAcentral
UACGUAGGGUGCAAGCGUUGUCCGGAAUUACUGGGCGUAAAGGGCGCGUAGGCGGCCUGACAAGUGGAUGGUGAAAUCCCUCGGCUUAACCGAGGAACUGCCAUCCAGACUGUUUGGCUUGAGACCGGGAGAGGUGAGUGGAAUUCCCAGUGUAGCGGUGAAAUGCGUAGAUAUUGGGAGGAACACCAGUGGCGAAGGCGGCUCACUGGACCGGUACUGACGCUGGGACACGAAAGCGUGGGGAGCAAACAGG